This 776-nucleotide ribosomal RNA is filed under the name uncultured bacterium. RNAcentral's name for it is "bacterial SSU rRNA". It matches the Rfam family "Bacterial small subunit ribosomal RNA", at positions 61 to 835 of the family's 1533-position model. The record is from RNAcentral.
GUCGAGCGAGAAAGCUCCUUCGGGAGCAAGUAAAGCGGCGGACGGGUGAGUAACACGUAAGAAUUUGCCCUUCAGUGAAGAAUACCCCCGAGAAAUCGGGGCUAAUGCUGCAUACGUCCCUUCGGGGAGAAAGAUGGCCUCUUGCUGUCGCUGAAGGAUAAGCUUGCGGACUAUUAGCUUGUUGGUGGGGUAAAGGCCUACCAAGGCGAUGAUGGUUAGCCGGCCUGAGAGGGUGUACGGCCACAUUGGAACUGAGACACGGUCCAGACUCCUACGGGAGGCAGCAGUGGGGAAUAUUGCGCAAUGGGCGAAAGCCUGACGCAGCGACGCCGCGUGGAGGAUGAAGGUUUUCGGAUCGUAAACUCCUGUUAAGUGGGAAGAAAGACUCAUCCUUAAUACGGAUGAGGAAUGACGGUACCAUUAGAGUAAGCACCGGCUAACUUCGUGCCAGCAGCCGCGGUAAUACGAGGGGUGCAAGCGUUAUUCGGAUUUAUUGGGCGUAAAGGGUACGCAGGCGGCACAUUAAGUCAGUCGUAAAAUAUUCCGGCCCAACCGGAAGCUCGCGGCAGAUACUGAUGUGCUUGAGGAUGAGAGAGAGAAGUGGAAUUCCCGGAGUAGCGGUAAAAUGUGUGGAUCUCGGGAGGAACACCAAUGGCGAAGGCAGCUUCUUGGCUCAUUCCUGACGCUCAGGUACGAAAGCGUGGGGGAGCAAACAGGAUUAGAUACCCUGGUAGUCCACGCUGUAAACGAUGAUCACUAGACGUCAGCUUCGUUUU